GUAAUUUCCGAGGGGGUAAUCAGUCGGUCCCUUUGAUCUUCGAACAACAUAGGCCAAUUUCCAAGGGGGGGGAAUGUGUCGGCACUUUGAUGUUCAAUUUCCUAAGCGGGUAAAACUUUUAAGGACCCCUCAAUAGGGGGGGUGCACAUAUUAAAUGGAAUGGCCCAAUAUUAAAGACGACUAUAAACGAGACGAAGUUGUCCAUCGAAGAUAUGAAGGUUGAUAAAAUGGACAAUUUGUCAAACAGAACCGCGAGGGUAAGCAUUUGUACUUAUAUCUGAUAAAUUGUGUAUACAUGUCAUUUGGUAUAGAACGCUCUGAUUUUAUGCACCUAUCAAUGUUAACCCCGAGGGGGGGGGGUCGGGCAAAGGGUGGGGAUUUGAUCAAUCAGGUGGUCCCAUGGGUCGGGAUUUGGACUGACACUUUUUUCCUAAGUGGCCCGAGGGUGGGGAUUUUUGACAGAUUAACACUGAUCUCAGACGAUAUACUGAAGAAACCUGAGCCAAUUUUAGAACAAACUCUGACUCGUCACCAGUCGCCCGCGUUGUAGCUGUCAACGCCUAACCCGCGAACGGGCAUAUCCUCCCGCACUAAAAGGUAACGAGGGACUGUGGAAGAGUCAGGAACAAACUGAAGACUGGGCACUAGUUUAUCGCUCGCUGUCUCGCGCGUUGUUUUUACAAGAAAUAUGGAAAUUUCUACCCUGGAUUCCAGAGCCUUCGACAGUAAAUAAUAAAUUGAAAUGUCGCGAAGGCUCUGGUUCAACGGGGCGAUUCUUUGAUUAAGCCGCGCCAAUCACA
This is a non-coding RNA of Paramuricea clavata, 800 nucleotides long. NCBI's taxonomy places the organism in Eukaryota, Metazoa, Cnidaria, Anthozoa, Malacalcyonacea, Plexauridae. The record is from the annotation of a GenBank genome assembly.